This is a long non-coding RNA of Etheostoma spectabile (orangethroat darter), 114 nucleotides long. RefSeq lists it as uncharacterized. The transcript is spliced from 3 exons. NCBI's taxonomy places the organism in Eukaryota, Metazoa, Chordata, Actinopteri, Perciformes, Percidae. The record is from RefSeq and is a predicted model, not a curated record.
UAUGGUUCUGCGGGGGCUCUACGCAGAGCUAGCACCGUAGACUACGUAAGUGGCCUGAAGUUUAUACUUGUGCGCUGGUGGGUGUGUGUGUGUGUGUGUGUGUGUGUGUGUGUG